This 72-nucleotide transfer RNA is filed under the name Camelus bactrianus (Bactrian camel). It matches the Rfam family "tRNA". From Rfam's summary of the family: Transfer RNA (tRNA) molecules are approximately 80 nucleotides in length. The record is from Rfam by way of RNAcentral. Lineage: Eukaryota; Metazoa; Chordata; Mammalia; Artiodactyla; Camelidae. RNAcentral also lists the same sequence under 1 other name.
GAAGGUACAGCUCAGCGGUAGAGCGCGUGCUUCGCAUGCACAAGGCCCUGGGUUCCACCCCCAGUACCUCUA